AAGGUUAACCGAAUAGGGAAGCCGUAGAGAAAUCGAGUCCGAAUAGGGCGUUCAGUCGCUGGGUGUAGACCCGAAACCAAGUGAUCUAUCCAUGGCCAGGAUGAAGGUGAGGUAACACUUACUGGAGGUCCGAACCGACUAGUGUUGCAAAACUAGCGGAUGAGCUGUGGAUAGGGGUGAAAGGCUAAACAAACUUGGAAAUAGCUGGUUCUCUCCGAAAACUAUUUAGGUAGUGCCUCAAGUAUUACCAUCGGGGGUAGAGCACUGUUAUGGCUAGGGGGUCAUGGCGACUUACCAAACCAUUGCAAACUCCGAAUACCGAUGAGUACAGCUUGGGAGACAGUGCACCGGGUGCUAACGUCCGGACACAAGAGGGAAACAACCCAGACCGCCAGCUAAGGUCCCCAAAAUUGGCUAAGUGGGAAACGAAGUGGGAAGGCUAAAACAGUCAGGAUGUUGGCUUAGAAGCAGCCAUCAUUUAAAGAAAGCGUAAUAGCUCACUGAUCGAGUCGUCCUGCGCGGAAGCUGUAACGGGGCUAAGCCAGUUACCGAAGCUGCGGAUGUGCAAUUUAUUGCACGUGGUAGGAGAGCGUUCUGUACGCCUGUGAAGGUGGCUUGUGAAGGCUGCUGGAGGUAUCAGAAGUGCGAAUGCUGACAUGAGUAGCGUUAAAGGGGGUGAAAAGCCCCCUCGCCGAAAGCGCAAGGUUUCCUACGCAACGUUCAUCGGCGUAGGGUGAGUCGGCCCCUAAGGCGAGGCAGAGAUGCGUAGCUGAUGGGAAACAGGUCAAUAUUCCUGUACCGAUAUGUAGUGCGAUGUGGGGACGGAGAAGGUUAACUCAGCCGGGUGUUGGAUGUCCCGGUUCAAGCAUGUAGGCGUGCCCUCUAGGCAAAUCCGGAGGGCUUAGCUGAGGUGUGAUAACGAGGCGGCUUGCCGCUGAAGUGAGUGAUACCCUGCUUCCAGGAAAAGCCACUAAGCUCCAGCUACAUACGACCGUACCGCAAACCGACACUGGUGCGCGAGAUGAGUAUUCUAAGGCGCUUGAGAGAACUCUGGAGAAGGAACUCGGCAAAUUGACACCGUAACUUCGGAAGAAGGUGUGCCUUUAGUAGGUGAUCCAUUUACUUGGUGAGCCCAAUGAGGCCGCAGAGAAUCGGUGGCUGCAACUGUUUAUUAAAAACACAGCACUCUGCAAAGACGAAAGUCGACGUAUAGGGUGUGACGCCUGCCCGGUGCUGGAAGAUUAAAUGAUGGGGUGCAAGCUCUUGACUGAAGUCCCAGUAAACGGCGGCCGUAACUAUAACGGUCCUAAGGUAGCGAAAUUCCUUGUCGGGUAAGUUCCGACCUGCACGAAUGGCGUAAUGAUGGCCACACUGUCUCCUCCAGAGACUCAGCGAAGUUGAAAUGUUUGUGAUGAUGCAAUCUCCCU
RNAcentral lists this ribosomal RNA (1427 nucleotides) under metagenome. Its description in RNAcentral is "bacterial LSU rRNA". It matches the Rfam family "Bacterial large subunit ribosomal RNA", at positions 642 to 2071 of the family's 2925-position model. The record is from RNAcentral.